AUUGAACGCUGGCGGCAGGCCUAACACAUGCAAGUCGAACGCGUCGCGGACGGGUGAGUAAUGUCUGGGUAACUGCCUGAUGGUGGGGGAUAAAUUCUGGAAACGGUCGCUAAUACCGCAUACCAUCAGAUGUGCCCAUAUGGGAUUAGCGAGUUGGUGGGGUAACGGCUCACCAAGGCGACGAUCCCUAGCUGGUCUGAGAGGAUGACCAGCCACACUGGAACGGAGACACGGCCCAGACUCCUACGGGAGGCAGCAGUGGGGAAUAUUGCACAAUGGGCGCAAGCCUGAUGCAGCCAUGCCGCGUGUAUGAAGAAGGCCUUCGGGUUGUAAAGUACUUUCAGUGGGGAGGCGUUACCCGCAGAAGAAGCACCGGCUAACUCCGUGCCAGCAGCCGCGGUAAUAC
This 406-nucleotide ribosomal RNA is filed under the name uncultured bacterium. RNAcentral describes it as "partial 16S ribosomal RNA". It matches the Rfam family "Bacterial small subunit ribosomal RNA", at positions 30 to 526 of the family's 1533-position model. The record is from RNAcentral.